UCAUGUAGCUCAGUGGUAGAGCACUACGUUGACAUCGUAGUGGUCGUAGGUUCAAUCCCUAUCGUGAC
This 68-nucleotide transfer RNA is filed under the name bovine gut metagenome. It matches the Rfam family "tRNA". Rfam says of the family: Transfer RNA (tRNA) molecules are approximately 80 nucleotides in length. The record is from RNAcentral.